RNAcentral lists this long non-coding RNA (1015 nucleotides) under Citrus x clementina. RNAcentral describes it as "Citrus clementina (C. clementina) long non-coding RNA (CCLE_LNC002977)". The record is from RNAcentral. Lineage: Eukaryota; Viridiplantae; Streptophyta; Magnoliopsida; Sapindales; Rutaceae.
AUAAAGUCUAAACACUCUAAACUAAAUUGUGACCACUUCUUCUGAGUUCUGAUCAUCAACCUAAAUCGUGACCACUUCUGAGUUCUGAUCUUCAGCUGAAACUGAAAUCGUGACCUUCAGCCGCUGAAGUCUCGUCCCCGUUGCUCGUCGCCGCCACUGCUCGUCGCUGCUGCUUAUCGCUGCUGCUCGUCGCUGCUGCCCAUCGUUGUUGCUCGUCGCCGAGUCUCCGCCACUGUUACCACGUGCUGCAGCCGCUGUCAGCUGCUGCUGCUGCCACUGUCACCAACAACUCUCAGCAGAACAAGGUUUUAUGAAUUUAAAAAGCUAUAGCUAUAAUAUUUUGUUAUCAUUGGGGCCAUAUAAAUUCGUGAGAAUCCCAGAAAUUGCAUUGAAUUUUUACUGAAUCUGAUAAGCCCGGCAUAUCUUAAUCCCAGCUAUUUUGGCUAUAGCGUACCAUUCAUUCGUUAGCUCCAAGGGCCCAUCAACAGGCGUUUUCGGGAAUCGGCUGCGGGGCGAAUUUGGGGUAAAUGCAAGAGGAUAAAAAAAAGCUAUAGCCAAAAUAGCCAAGAGGAUCCCAAGGGCCCCGUCAAUAAGAAUUUGCAGACUUGCAUAAAUAAAUUAUGUAUGAUGCUAUAAAUGAUGCCCAUUAGCCAGACUUGCAUUCUCAGCAAUUCUUCUCCAUUUCUUAAUCCUUUUAUCCAUAUGCUUUGUUAAUGCACAAUACUGUUGAAUAAACUUUGUAUUCCUUUUAUCAGUUUGUUUGAGAUUAAAAUUGGAGGUAAUAAAAUGUUGUUUUGAUUUCAAUUGAGAUGUAUUUAGCUUGAAACAUUGACUUCAUGAAACUAAUUUUGACACUUGAUUUUCUGAUCGAAUUUAUGAUUAUAAUUGGUGAGGAUGAUUUGAAUUUAAUUGCAUGCCAUCAGCCAGGCCAGUGUUGGAAUGUCAUAAUAUUUUUUAUUUGUAAUCCCCAAGAUUUUUUAUUUGUUGCUUCUGUUGUAUUGAUUUGUUGUUGUAG